UACAGAGGUCUCAAGCGUUGUUCGGAUUCAUUGGGCGUACAGGGUGCGUAGGCGGCGCGGUAAGUCGGGUGUGAAAUCUCGGGGCUUAACUCCGAAACUGCAUUCGAUACUGCCGUGCUUGAGGACUGGAGAGGAGACUGGAAUUUACGGUGUAGCGGUGAAAUGCGUAGAUAUCGUAAGGAAGACCAGUGGCGAAGGCGGGUCUCUGGACAGUUCCUGACGCUGAGGCGCGAAAGCGUGGGGAGCAAACGGG
RNAcentral lists this ribosomal RNA (253 nucleotides) under uncultured bacterium. RNAcentral describes it as "partial 16S ribosomal RNA". It matches the Rfam family "Bacterial small subunit ribosomal RNA", at positions 524 to 776 of the family's 1533-position model. The record is from RNAcentral.